RNAcentral lists this ribosomal RNA (457 nucleotides) under uncultured Methanosaeta sp. Its description in RNAcentral is "bacterial SSU rRNA". It matches the Rfam family "Archaeal small subunit ribosomal RNA", at positions 881 to 1338 of the family's 1478-position model. The record is from RNAcentral. Lineage: Archaea; Methanobacteriati; Methanobacteriota; Methanomicrobia; Methanotrichales; Methanotrichaceae.
ACAACGGGUGGAGCUUGCGGUUUAAUUGGAUUCAACGCCGAAAUCUUACCGGGACCGACAGCAAUAUGAAGGCCAGGCUGAAGACUUUGCCGGAUUAGCUGAGAGGUGGUGCAUGGCCGUCGUCAGUUCGUACUGUGAAGCAUCCUGUUAAGUCAGGCAACGAGCGAGACCCACGCCCACAGUUGCCAGCGUACUCUCUGGAGUGACGGGUACACUGUGGGGACCGCCGCUGCUAAAGCGGAGGAAGGAAUGGGCAACGGUAGGUCAGUAUGCCCCGAAUAUCCCGGGCUACACGCGAGCUACAAUGGUUGGUACAAUGGGUAUCUACCCCGAAAGGGGACGGGAAUCUCCUAAAACCAAUCUUAGUUCGGAUUGAGGGCUGCAACUCGCCCUCAUGAAGCUGGAAUCCGUAGUAAUCGCGUUUCAACAGAACGCGGUGAAUACGUCCCUGCUCCUU